GCAGCACCCCCCCCCCCGAGCCGGGUUCACCCUGGAGCCCCUCUUGCCGCUAUUUCACUCCCUCAGCUCGUCGCCCGCCAAGCGACACUGAAGUACUGAACUCGCGAACACCCAAAGAGCCACCAAAAGACCGGAAAGGGCAGCGGAAGUCCCGCCCGCCGACGAUGUGCGGUGUGCGUCCCGCUUCUACGCUUUCAUUGGCUCGGUCAUCGCCGCCGUCACCGCGCGGCCAAUGAAGGCUCAACUCUGGGACGUUUUCCCGCGCCCGCGCCGUGUAGGGCGGGACUUCCGGCAGCUAUUUGUGGAUGCGGCGUUUGCGUUGUUUUUGGGUUCUUUCCGCGGUUUUCAGGGUGUUGAGUCCUGAGUGGGGACCGAAGUGAAUGGAGCCGGCGAGGGCGGGCGUUGUCGCCCCUGCCCAGAGGCGGCCUUGAGGCUCCCUGAGCCUGGAGUGACGGCGGUGCCCUCUUUCCUGCCCCGCUCGCCGCCUCUCCCCGCGCUUCCCACCAGCUGGAUGAGCCCCGCUCAGGCACUAUUUUGGCUGCAUGGGACGUGUCAAGAUCCAAAGCAAACAAAACCCCUUCCCACAUGAGGCUGUCAUUCUACUCGGAGGACAUGGACAGUAAGAGUCAAUGACAACAUAGUCAAUUACACAGUGCUUUUACGUGUCAGAAGUGUUAACCGAAAUUUCAGAAACGAAGACCCGAUUGAAACAAAGAGGCUCCCCCACCUCCCGUUUUUUUUUUUUUUCAGGCCUUCCUAGGGCUCCAGCCAAGGAGACACAGAUUCAAGAAGCAAUCGUUUAUCAACAAAGGAAAGUACAAACAAAACAUGACCAUCUCAACAGAUGCAGAAAAAGCAUUUCAUAAAAUUCAACAUGCAUUCACGACAAAAAAUAAAUAAAUAAAUAAAAACCCUUACCAGAGGCGAUAUAGCGGGGAACCUAUCUCAACAUAACAAAAGCUAUUUAUGACAAAUCCACAGCCAACAUACUACUCAAUGGUGAAAAGCGGAAAGCCUUCCCACUAAAAUCUGAAACAACACAAGGAUUCCCACUCUUACCCCUUCUAUUUAGCACAGUAUUGGAAGUCCUAGCCAUAACAAGCAGACAAGAAAUAAAAGGGAUUCGAAUUGGAAGGCAAGAGGAAAAACUGUCACAAUAUGCAGAAGACAGAAUACUGUAUAUAGAAAGUCCUAAGGAUUCCACGCAAAAACUUCUAGAGCUGAUUAGUCAACUCAGCAAGCUAACAGGGUACAAGAUAAAGACAGAAAUCUGUUGCAUUUCUUCACCCUAACAAUCAAAUAUCAGAAAAGGGAAGUAAAUUUUUAAAAACAUCCCCUUUAAAAUUGCAUCAAAAAAUACUCAGGAACAAAUUUAACCGAAGAGGUGAAGGACUUACAUGCUGAGAAGUCUAAAACAUCGAUAAAGGAAACUGCAGAUGAUUUAAAGAAAUGGCAAGAUACGGCAUGCUCUUGGACUGGCAGGAUUAAUGUUGUUAAAACGGCCAUGCUACCCAAAGUAGUCUACAGAAUUCAUUUGACCCCUGUCAGGUUACCCAGGACAUUUUUCACAGAACUAAAACAAAAUCCUAAAAUUUAUAUGGAAUCACAAAAGACCCAGAACUGCUAAAGCAAUACUGAAGAUAACGAACGAAGCUGGAGACGUAACCCUCCCAGACGUCAGACGAUACCACAAAGCUACAGGAAUCCAAAACAGCGUGGUACUGGCACAGAAACAGACAUACGGAUCAGUGGAACACAAAAGAGAGCCCAGAAAUAGGCUCUCUGACACACCUACGGUCAAUUAAUCUUUUGACCAAGGAGACAAGAAUACACGACGGAGAGAAGACAGCCUCUUCGGCAAGUGGUGUUGGCAAAGCCGACAGCCACAGGUAAAUCGAUGAAGUUAGAACACUCCUUCACGGCACGCACAAAAAUAAACUCAAAAUGGCUUAAAGACUUAAACAUAAGACAGGACACCAUAAAUCUCCUAAAAGAGGACACAGGCAAAACAUUCUCUGACAGAAAUCGUAGCACUGUUCUCCUAGGUCAGCCUACUGAGGCAACAGAAUUAAAAGCAAGAGUAAACAAAUGCGGCCUAAUUAAACUCACGAGCUUUGGCACCGCGAUGGAAAUCAUAAACAAGAUGAAAAGACAACCUACGGACUGGGAGAAAAUACUUGCAAAAGAAUGCAACUGACAGGGCUUAAUUUCCACAGUACACAAAUAGCUCAUACAACUCAGUAACAGGAAAACAACCCAAUCCAAAAGUGGGCAGAAGACCUACACACACAUUUCUCCAAGAAUGAGACACAGAUGACCAACAGGCACAUGAAAACAUGCUCAAUAUCGCUAUUCAUCAGAGAAAUGCAAAUCAAAACUACCACGAGGCAUCACCUCACACCAGUCAGAGUGGCCAUCAUUCAAGAGUCCUCAAACGAUAAAUGCCGGAGAGGGUGUGGGGAAAAGGGAACCCUCCUACACUGUGGGUGGGAACACAGUCUGGUGCAGCCAUUAUGGAAAACAGGAGGGAGAUUCCUCAAAAGACUAAAGAUAGACUUACCAUAGAAUCCAGCAAUCCCACCCCUGGGCAUAUAUCAGGAGGGAACCUUAAUUCAAAAAAAUACAUGCACCCCAAUGUCCACAGCAGCACUAUUUACAACAGCCAAGACAUGGAAACAACCUAAAUGUCCAUCCACAGAUGACUGGAUAAAGAAGCUGUGGUAUAUUUAUACAAUGAAAUACCACUCACCCAUUAAAUAAAUAAAAUAACGCCAUUUGCAGUAACAUGAACGGACGAGAUUAUCACACUUACUGAAGUGAGAGAAAGACAAAUAUAUUUUAUCAGCUAUCUGUGUAAUCUUAAAAGAUACAAAUUAACUUAUUUACAAAUGGAAACCGAGUCACAGACAUAAAAAAUAUACUUAUGUUUACCAAAGGGUAACGUGGGCAGGGGGAGGUAAAUUGGGAGUUUGAGAUUAACAGGUACCAAGUAUCAUAUACAAAAUAGAUAAACAACAAGGUCCUACUUUAUAAUACAAGGAACUAUAUAUUCAAUAGCUCUUAAUAAAUUGCAAUUUAAAAAAUACAUAUUUAUAUAUUUUAACUGAAUCAGUAUACCAGCAACUAAUACAACAGUGUAAAUUAACUGUACUAUACUUAUGUGAAGUGUUAAUUAACUAUAUGUUUCAACAAACUUAAUGAUCAGCUUCCUGGUUCCAAUUAAGCAAGGGUUGGUUAGGGUUUCAUGAUUGGGGCCUAUGUGCUUGUGAGAAGCCUGUAGUCAACAUCCUUCACCUGGGUGGGUGUCUUAGUUUCUGCAAAGGAACUCAAGGAUAUGCGUCAGAUUAUUACCUAUAGCCCUUCAGGACCAGAGGCCCUGAGAUUGUUUUCUCAACUAUUUUUUAAGCUAGCAUUACUUUUCUCACUUGACCACUUUUCCUAUGUUUCUGCACUCUCUGACUUCUCUAUAGUAACUGCUUGCCACUGCUCUUUGGAACUCAGGGAAGGCCUAGGAAACUAAAGCUUUUUUCUAGAAACAAAAAUUGGGGAACAUGGUGGGGCUUUUGUACCUGAGACGGCUCUACAGGGUCCUGUUUAUUUCAGGAACAAGUGCACCACAGAGUCCCCAGGCAGGCUUCACAGUCGCUUCGGUGCACCAGUCUCUUGUCCCGCUUUUCAAUUCAGUCACGUCAGAAGGGUCCCAGCACUCCAGAGGCCCAAAGAAGUGAAAAGGAGCUGCGCGACAACUACACCAGUGCCACGGGGAAAUGCAGCACACAAAGGUGAGGACCCCGAAACUCCACCUUUUAUUCUGGCAGAGCUUAAUUCUCUCCUUAACUCACAGCACACAGUAAACAGGAUCCCAAGAGUAAAGGUAGGUUAAACAAUAAGAGCUUUACCACAAAAAUCAGCACAGUGGAGCCAGAAGUUCCUGGGUUGGGUAAAACAGAGGCUGGAAAAAUCUGUCCAGAAUGUCAUGAGACAAUCAGUGAAGACCCUGAACAAGGGAAUCCUCUGUAAGCUGCCACCGAAGCCAUAUGGGGUCCUCUGUCCAAGCUGGGUGAUGUUCACAUCCAAAACAAUCAAGGGGGUGGGCCGUGAGGGCUCACCAAAGGGCUCAAACAGCCGGGGGAGACUCUAGACAAAGAGAGACAGCACAGCAAUCUGCUCUCCCCACUGAAAAAAAAACUGAGAUGUAAUUAACAUAUAACAUUUACUAGCUUCAGAUGUACAACAUAAUGAUUGGUAUUUGUAUAUAUUGCAAAGUAAUGACCAAAGUAAGUCUACUUAAUACUCUCACCAUACACAGGUACAGAACUUUCUUGUUGAGAACUUUCCUGAUUUACUCUUCACAACUUUCAAAUAUGCAAUACAGUAUUAUUAACUAUAGUCACCACAUUGUACACUACAUCUCCAUGACUUAUUUUACAACCAGAAGUCUGUACCUUUUGACCAUCUUCACCUAUUUUGUAGCAGUGACUUCCAAUGCUUUACAAAAAAAAUUUUUAGUUGAAGUAUAAGUGCCAAUGUUAUAUUAGCUUCAUGUGUACACUACUAACUUGACAUUUGACUAGUGAUGAGAUGAUACUACAGUAAGCCUAGUUACCACCUGUCACAUUUUAAGUUAUUACACUACUGACUCUAGUCCCUAUUCUCCAUAUUACAUUCCAAUGACAUUCCUGCCCCCAGUGGCUUAUUUUACAAUUGGAAGUUUGUGCUUCUUAAUCCACUUAAUCUAUUUCAAACAUUCCCCCACCCCUCUCCUCUCUGGCAACCACUGGUUUGUUCUUGGUAUCUAUGCAUCUGCUUCUGGAUUGUUUUGUUCAUUCAUCUGUUUUGCUUUUUAGAUUCCACAUUUAAGUGAAAUCACUGACUUACUUCAUUUAGCAUAUUACCCUCUAGGUCUACCCAUACUGUCACAAAUAGCAAGAUUUCUGCUUUAAUGGCUGAGUAAUAUUCCAUUAUAUACAUGUAAAUAUUACAUCUUCUUUACCAUUCAUGUAUCAAUGGACACUUCAGUUGCUUCCAUAUCUUGGCAGCUGUAAAUAAUGUUACAAUGAACAUAGGGAUGUAUAUUUCUUUUCAAUUUAGUGUUUUUGUUUUCUUUAGGUAAAUACCCAGGAUUGGAAUCACUGGGUUGAAUGUAGCUAUAUUUUUAAUUUCUUAAGGAACUUUCACACUUUGGCAUAGUGGCUGCACCAACUUAACAUCCCUACCAAUAGCAAAUGAGGGUGCCUUUUUCUCCACAUCCUCACCAACACUUGUUAUUUGCUGUCUUCUUGACAGCAGCCAUUGUGACAGGUGUGGGGGUGACUGCUCAUUGUGACUUUGAUUUGCAUCUGCCUGAUCAGUGAAGUACAGCAUCUUUUCAUGUGCUUGUUGGGCAGCUGCAUGUCUUCUCUGGGAAAAUACCUGUUCAAGUCCUCUGCCCAUUUUCUAAUCCAAUUUUUUUUUGACAUUAAGUUGUAUAAAUUCUCCAUAUAUUCUGGUUAUUAGCCCUUUACUGGCUUUGUGAUUUGCAAAUAUCUUCUCUUACUCAGGAGGUUGUCUUUUCAUUUUGCUGCUGGUUCCCUUCACAGUGUCUGAGUAUUUUAGAGACUGAGGUGGUUCACACUGCAGCUCCCUGCCAGGUAACAGAGGGAACUCCAGUCACGGCCCCAAGCGGGUCUGAAAGUGCAACACAGUUCACCAAAGCUUCCCACAUACCUGGCACUUACUGAGAAUCUCCCUAGUGAGGAUGCUUGGACAUAUGAGAUGUAAUUUCUGGCAGAUACAUCCUUCACAGAGGUAACCUCCAGAGAUUUCCUCUGUUAUGUUAAAAGCAAAGAACACAGUGGCCCACAUGUAACGUCCUUCUCCAGUGUCAACUUCCUGCUGCUGAUACCUUGGUGCACAGCAGCUCUUAGAAGAAAACAGAGGAAAAAAGCUUCCUGACACUGGGUGGCUUUGGCGAUAAUUUCUUGGACAUGACACCAAAGGCAGAGGCAACAAGAACAGAAAUAAAUGGGACUAAACUGAAAUCUAAAACUUUUGUGCAAAAAAGGACUAAAUGGACAGAAUGAAAAGGGAACCCUUGGAGUAGAAGAAAAUAUUUGUAAACUAUCUGAUAACAGGUUAUUACCCAGAGUAUAUAAAGAAUUCCUAUAUCCAAGUAACAGUAAUAAUAAUAACCCCAUUUAAAAAUGGGCAAAGGAUUGGAAGAGACAUUUUCCCAAAGAAUAUACACAGCCAACAAGCAGAUGAAAAAAUGUUCAGUAUCAUUAAAUGCAAAACAAAACCACAAUGAAAUAUCCCCUCAUGCCCCUUAGGCUAGUGUUAUAAAAAAUAAAACAAGAAAACAAGUGUUGGGGGGAGGGUACAGCUCAAAUGGUAGCAUGCAUGCCUAACAUACAUAAGGUCUUGGGUUCAAUCCCCAGUACCUCCUCUAAAAAUAAAUAAAUAAGCUUAAUUACCUCAAAAAAAUGCUAAAAAGAAAAAAAAAAAAGAAA
This is a long non-coding RNA of Camelus dromedarius (Arabian camel), 6488 nucleotides long. RefSeq lists it as uncharacterized. The record is from RefSeq and is a predicted model, not a curated record. Lineage: Eukaryota; Metazoa; Chordata; Mammalia; Artiodactyla; Camelidae. The transcript is spliced from 3 exons.